This 253-nucleotide ribosomal RNA is filed under the name uncultured bacterium. RNAcentral's name for it is "partial 16S ribosomal RNA". It matches the Rfam family "Bacterial small subunit ribosomal RNA", at positions 524 to 776 of the family's 1533-position model. The record is from RNAcentral.
UACGGAGGGGGCUAGCGUUGUUCGGAAUUACUGGGCGUAAAGCGCACGUAGGCGGCUUUGUAAGUUAGAGGUGAAAGCCCAGGGCUUAACCCUGGAAUUGCCUUUAAGACUGCAUCGCUAGAAUCGUGGAGAGGUGAGUGGAAUUCCGAGUGUAGAGGUGAAGUUCGUAGAUAUUCGGAAGAACACCAGUGGCGAAGGCGACUCACUGGCCCGGUACUGACGCUGAGGUGCGAAAGCGUGGGGAGCAAACAGG